Molecule: long non-coding RNA, 895 nt
Organism: Canis lupus familiaris (dog)
Lineage: Eukaryota; Metazoa; Chordata; Mammalia; Carnivora; Canidae
Exons: 2
Source: RefSeq, a predicted model, not a curated record
GAAGCAUGAAAUCAGGUCUACCCUGUACCCGGGUGAUUCACCUACUGACUGCCAACCAGGUUCCCAGGCCGCCAGGGAGGGAGGCAUGGCCGUGUUGGCCACUCUCUGUGUUCUUUGCCACCGACCAGGAACCAACACUGAGACUUCUUCCUUUACCUGUCACCUAGAUGUCUACUAGGAUUUUGACUCUGACUUCUUCUCACCUGCAUAUGUUCUCCUUGGCUCCCCUGGCUUUCACCACAACUUGUCAGGAAAAGAUUCCUAAGAAGCUACACCUCAGCCUUUCUCCUAGGAGCAUUACGAAGAGAUCUACCAUGGAAGUGGCAGUCCAAAAGCAAUCUCAACAUGAUCAAAACUGUACUUAGCAUCUACCUAACCAAGACAAGUUUCUGCUUCUGUUUUGUUAUCUGGAAAAAAGGCAAUCCCACCCCUGAGGUAUCAAGUUAUAAACUUCUCUGGUUGGGGGGAUUUCUGGGACUCUUCACCGUCACUCUCUGCUUGCCCCAACCUGAUGAUUACACCUGCCAGUUCUGCCUUCCAAAUAUCUGUCCAGUUUAUCCCCCCAAUGGUAGGCGGUCUGUCUUUAACUUCUUGCCACCUUCCACCGAUACCAAUUUUGAAUGGUUCUGUUUCUCUGUCUUAUGUGCUACCCCUUCCAAUUCCGUCUGGGUUAUACUAGAGGGAAACUUUCUCAAGGACAAUCUGAUCAUGUUGCUCCUUGGUACCCUGGACACAUCCAAAUUAAACUGUCAUCACACCCUACUAUGAUUGCUGGUUUUCCUGUCUACCCACCCCACUCAGCAGUUCUGUAGAGGAUGGCUUUGAGCUUUCUUUAUCCCUAUAUCCCCAGGGCCUACACAGCUCAGUGCUAAUAAAUGCUUGUUGGUUCAAUGAA